UUGUAUUUUACUAUUAGGUUGGUUUUGUAACGUCAUUGGAGGUUUAAGUGUCAUGUCAGUGACUCUGUGAUGUGAUUGGCUGGUGGGAGGGAGCAACGUGAACCCAAGCGCGCGGGGUUCUAAAGUUGUACGAAAAAUAUAUUAAACCCAUACGGUUUAGACUAGAGUCAUAAAUCGACAUAACAUAACUAUUACUACAAUAGACUAGAAUAGACUGUUGUACUGCGAGAAGCUUUAUUGAUGAGCCUUAAUUUUAAAUAUUACAACCGACGUUUUGGGGUUAGCAUCACGGGCUAACUAGCUAGUUGGCUAGCCACCACAUAUGAGCAUUGUCCAGGCUGCAACAGGCUGCUCGUACUGUCAGUGAAGCAGGCCUCUGGCUCCACCGGCUCCGGCUCCUCUUCUUCCACUUCCACUUCAGGCUCAGGCAUCGUGAUCUACGUUGUCAUUAUCCUCAUCGUCCUCGCCCAGGUAUUCAAAGUCUGAUUCUCCCUGGGCGAUCGGCACAGUGAGACUCUGCUCGCCGUCCACUAUAAACCCAGAAGGCCGGCCUUCAACCAAACAAUUGGGCUCGGUGUCACCCCUGGGCCCUUCUUCGGGCUCCUCGGACUUUCUGCCAGGAGAUCGCGUGGCCGUCCGGACGGCGAACGCUUUCAACCAGUUGAUGCCCCGUGUGAUUCUGCCGAUGGCAAUCUGGAGGUUGUUCAUCUCUCCGUCAUCAUCUCCUGCUGAGAGGUUGUCUCCACUGAAGGAGUUGAGCAGCAAGGCCAGGAAGAGGUUCAACACCUAGGAUGAGAAACAUUAAAAGCUGAGUUUUUAAAUAUUUUUCCAGUAUUAAUAAGAAUUUACAAUUUAGGCCACGCGAGUAGCUGUUGAUCACUGACUCAAACUGUGUAGACACUGAACUCCAGUAAAACACAAAAGCCAUCACAUAUCAAAUUGUUCGUCUCAUGGUACUUAUAUUAUAGCGUGUGCCUCCUGCUGCAGACGUGGCUAUUUUUAGUUUCUUAAACCUACUCGUCUAUUUCCCAGGUUUAGCAGGAGAUCAUGGUUACACAGGCAGGUUGUCUCGGUCCAUGUCUCGGCUGUGAGUAAGAAAAGAGGAGUGAUUUUAUGUAGGCUUGUCCUUCAUAUGAGGGACUCAUUGUUGCACAGUGAUUGCAUAUAAUGGGAGCCCUAUAAUCAUGGUGUGAGUGUGAGUGGGCCAGGCAAGCUUUUCAUCACGUACAGGUCAAUCAGCUACUGAAUGAUUUUCCUUUAACACCCAGUCCAGCUGCCACCUGAGCUCUGCUGGAUCAGCUGUCCGUGUUCGUUCCCACAGUGGCAGCAAGCUUACAUGAGCUGGAUCUUAGCACAUACUCAAGGUCAAAACUACUAUUUGGUGGCUCAAGUUAUCUGAUUUAAAUAGAAUUCUCCCUCUCGUGAAGAGUGUGAGCGUAUUAUUUACCUUUAUGUUGUUGCAAGCAGUGUGCAUUUAAAUGCGAGGUGAGAGAGGGGUGGAGUGCUGUUGGAAGGCUGCGGGAGGAGUGUGACAAAUGAAAAAAGCUGUGAUAAUUCUGGCACAGCGUGAGCUGGGAGUCUGAUACAUUUGUCAGCACUUAGCUAAGUCAUUUCCUUUUCAUUUCUAUGAAUAACCUGAAGGGGAAAUGGCUUUGGCUCUAGAUACUAAAUAUGAUGGAGUGAUCAUUCAUCAGUAUUCAUCAGCUGGUUUUUUUCUGUUGGAUCAAUGUAAAAGAUGACCCUGUGUUCAGCUGAAUACUGUGUUCUGGCCUUGCUCGAGAUAAAUCACUGAGAUGCCUCAGCAAAGGCAUCUCAGUGUGGAUUAACAAUAAACCUCAACACAAGCAGACCUCAAGUUCUCAUGGCAUUAGAACAGGAUAACUGAGAUUUAGAACAAUUUAGCAAAACACUUUGUCAGCUUUACAGCUUCUCGGUGGUGACGGUGGUUCAGAGGUCAGUGAGCUCAGAAAUAACCGUCCAUUUAUGAUGCAUGGUGAGUGCGUCUGAACACAAUCACAUCUGUCAUCAUAUCACAGCAUAUCAGCAUUGAAUUGAUGCAUUUUGCCCUCACCACUAGAUUUCCAAUGACCAUGACCAUCAUGAAGACGACUAAACACAUCCCGGCUCCUGCCACCUCCAUGCAGUCCCACAUGGUCUCGAUCCACUCCCCGCACAGGAUGCGGAACACGAUCAGGAAGGAGUGGAAGAAGUCGUUCAUGUGCCAGCGGGGAAGCUCACAGUCCAGGGCGAUUUUGCACACACAGUCCUUGUAGCUUUUCCCAAAGAGCUGCAUGCCCACCACAGCAAAGAUGAAGACGAUGAUGGCCAGCACCAAGGUCAAGUUCCCUAAAGCUCCUACUGAGUUCCCGAUGAUUUUGAUCAACAUAUUGAGAGUGGGCCAGGACUUGGCCAGUUUGAAGACACGCAGCUAUUUCAACACACAAACACAGACAAUGAUAUGCAUGGGGAGUAAUGUUUAAUGUAGCUCUGGUAAAUGGAUCGAAACAAAUAGUUUCUCACCAGACGAAAGGACCUGAGAACAGACAGGCCCUGAACAUUUGCCAGCCCCAACUCCACCAGACUCAGAGUCACAAUGAUGCUGUCAAAAAUGUUCCAGCCAACCUGAAAGUAAUAGUAGGGAUCCAUGGCGAUGAGCUUGAAGAACAUUUCUGCUGUGAAGAUCCCAGUGAAAACCUAAACAGGUUCCCCACUGAGAGCAUAUAGUCGAACUCCGGGGUCAUGGGGUAGUGCUCCAUGGCCAUGAAGAGGGUGUUGAGCACAAUGCAGAUGGUGAUGGCCAAGUCAACGAAAGGGUCCAUCACUACAAAGUGCACCCACUUUUUAAAAACCACCCAGGGUGUGCAGCAGUCCCACUUCAGGAAGAGGUCGGCAAACUUGUACCAACCAGAUUGCUAUCGGGAUUUGCGUACCUCAACCAGGGUUGGCGCUCUGACGAUGAGACGAGGAACAACUCUCCCAUUACAGUCCUUGAUGUCUUGAUCAUUUUCAUUAUCAUCAUCUGCUAAAUCGGACGCUGUCUGAUGACUGAGCGACUUCUUACUGGUUAAAGUUGCUCGACUUCCAAGAAUCUGAGCCUUUCAGAAGGGGUCCAGGUCCUCCAGAGGUGUGUUGAGCAGCUCCGGUGGAGGGUCUCCGUAGAUCAUGGGCAGGUUCUUACCCGCCUCCAGAUCAGCGUUGGGGGAUGCCGGCUCUUCUCCCUCAUGGGCCUCUACUUCUGCUG
Betta splendens (Siamese fighting fish) is the source of this 3241-nucleotide long non-coding RNA. RefSeq lists it as uncharacterized. NCBI's taxonomy places the organism in Eukaryota, Metazoa, Chordata, Actinopteri, Anabantiformes, Osphronemidae. The record is from RefSeq and is a predicted model, not a curated record. The transcript has 7 exons.